Molecule: long non-coding RNA, 159 nt
Organism: Solea senegalensis (Senegalese sole)
Lineage: Eukaryota; Metazoa; Chordata; Actinopteri; Pleuronectiformes; Soleidae
Exons: 4
Source: RefSeq, a predicted model, not a curated record
CACAUAUCAUUCAGGUUAAUCACACAUAAAUCACAUAUCAUGCAGGUUAAUCACAUAUAAACCACAUAUCAUUCAGGUUAAUCACACAUAAACCACAUAUCAUGCAAGUUAAUCACACAUAAACCACAUAUCAUUCAGGUUAAUCACACAUAAAUCACA